Molecule: ribosomal RNA, 441 nt
Filed under: uncultured bacterium
Lineage: Bacteria
Description: bacterial SSU rRNA
Rfam family: Bacterial small subunit ribosomal RNA
Source: RNAcentral
UCGAGAAUCUUCGGCAAUGGGCGCAAGCCUGACCGAGCGACGCCGCGUGGAGGACGAAGGCCUUCGGGUUGUAAACUCCUGUCGAGGGGGAAGAAGGGGCCUUAAACAAGCCCUUGACUGAUCCCUGGAGGAAGCACGGGCUAAGUUCGUGCCAGCAGCCGCGGUAAGACGAACCGUGCGAACGUUAUUCGGAAUCACUGGGCUUAAAGCGCGUGUAGGCGGAUCGGCACGUCGGUCGCUGAAAUCCCCCGGCUCAACCGGGGAACGGGCGCCGAUACGACCGGUCUGGAGGAACGUAGGGGGACCGGGAACUUCCGGUGGAGCGGUGAAAUGCGUUGAGAUCGGAAGGAACGCCCGUGGCGAAAGCGCGGUCCUGGACGUUUGCUGACGCUGAGACGCGAAAGCCAGGGGAGCGAACGGGAUUAGAUACCCGCGUAGUCC